GAUGAGUUCCAGCUUUGAUAGAAUGGGACCAGGUAUAGGAGCUAUACUGGAAAGGAGCAUCGAUAUGGAUCGAGGAUUUUUAUCGGGUCCAAUGGGAAGCGGAAUGAGAGAGAGAAUAGGCUCCAAAGGCAACCAGAUAUUUGUCAGAAAUGUAAGCAAAUAAAUAUUAAGGAUAAUUCAAAUUCUUUUUUUUCUUGUAUAUAUGUUACUAAUACCUCUUUUCAUUCUAGCUACCUUUUGACUUGACUUGGCAGAAACUAAAAGAGAAAUUCAGUCAGUGUGGUCAUGUAAUGUUUGCAGAAAUAAAAAUGGAGAAUGGAAAGUCAAAAGGCUGUGGAACAGUCAGAUUUGACUCCCCAGAAUCAGCUGAAAAAGCCUGCAGAAUAAUGAAUGGCAUAAAAAUCAGUGGCAGAGAAAUUGAUGUUCGCUUGGAUCGUAAUGCAUAAUUUCAAGCCAUGGUUGGAACAUUCCUACAUCUGUUUUGCUGAAUCUCCUAGUAAAAGUCAUUUUUUUAAAGUAAUAUUGUAUGCUUACAAAAGCUGUAAAAAUGAACUUUUAAAACUCCCACCAGCUUUUAACAGUAUAAUGUUAAAAAUAUACUGUAAUUUUUGUUAAUCUCAAGUUUGGGUUUUUAAAGACAGCAAGUCUGGUCAUUCAGUUUAAAUGAAUGGUUAUACUGUUUUUAAUG
This 688-nucleotide long non-coding RNA is filed under the name Homo sapiens (human). RNAcentral describes it as "non-protein coding lnc-FBN1-5:4". The record is from RNAcentral. Lineage: Eukaryota; Metazoa; Chordata; Mammalia; Primates; Hominidae.